Molecule: ribosomal RNA, 663 nt
Filed under: Lactobacillus kefiranofaciens subsp. kefirgranum
Lineage: Bacteria; Bacillati; Bacillota; Bacilli; Lactobacillales; Lactobacillaceae
Description: bacterial SSU rRNA
Rfam family: Bacterial small subunit ribosomal RNA
Source: RNAcentral
GCAGUCGAGCGAGCGGAACAGCAGAAUCACUUCGGUGAGGACGCUGGGAAAGCGAGCGGCGGAUGGGUGAGUAACACGUGGGGAACCUGCCCUUAAGUCUGGGAUACCACUUGGAAACAGGUGCUAAUACCGGAUAAGAAAGCAGUUCGCAUGAACAGCUUUUAAAAGGCGGCGCAAGCUGUCGCUAAAGGAUGGACCCGCGGUGCAUUAGCUAGUUGGUAAGGUAACGGCCUACCAAGGCAGUGAUGCAUAGCCGAGUUGAGAGACUGAUCGGCCACAUUGGGACUGAGACACGGCCCAAACUCCUACGGGAGGCAGCAGUAGGGAAUCUUCCACAAUGGACGCAAGUCUGAUGGAGCAACGCCGCGUGAGUGAAGAAGGUUUUCGGACCGUAAAGCUCUGUUGUUGGUGAAGAAGGAUAGAGGUAGUAACUGGCCUUUAUUUGACGGUAAUCAACCAGAAAGUCACGGCUAACUACGUGCCAGCAGCCGCGGUAAUACGUAGGUGGCAAGCGUUGUCCGGAUUUAUUGGGCGUAAAGCGAGCGCAGGCGGAAGAAUAAGUCUGAUGUGAAAGCCCUCGGCUUAACCGAGGAAUUGCAUCGGAAACUGUUUUUCUUGAGUGCAGAAGAGGAGAGUAGAACUCCAUGUGUAGCGGUGGAAUGC